RNAcentral lists this ribosomal RNA (497 nucleotides) under uncultured bacterium. Its description in RNAcentral is "partial 16S ribosomal RNA". It matches the Rfam family "Bacterial small subunit ribosomal RNA", at positions 28 to 507 of the family's 1533-position model. The record is from RNAcentral.
GAUGAACGCUGGCGGCGUGCCUAAUACAUGCAAGUUGAGCGAACGGACGAGAAGCUUGCUUCUCUAAUGUUAGCGGCGGACGGGUGAGUAACACGUGGAUAACCUACCUAUAAGACUGGGAUAACUUCGGGAAACCGUAGCUAAUACCGGAUAAUAUUUUGAACCGCAUGGUUCAAAAGUGAAAGACGGUCUUGCUGUCACUUAUAGAUGGAUCCGCGCUGCAUUAGCUAGUUGGUAAGGUAACGGCUUACCAAGGCAACGAUGCAUAGCCGACCUGAGAGGGUGAUCGGCCACACUGGAACUGAGACACGGUCCAGACUCCUACGGGAGGCAGCAGUAGGGAAUCUUCCGCAAUGGGCGAAAGCCUGACGGAGCAACGCCGCGUGAGUGAUGAAGGUCUUCGGAUCGUAAAACUCUGUUAUUAGGGAAGAACAUAUGUGUAAGUAACUGUGCACAUCUUGACGGUACCUAAUCAGAAAGCCACGGCUAACUACGUG